Long non-coding RNA from Macrobrachium nipponense, 454 nucleotides. RefSeq lists it as uncharacterized. NCBI's taxonomy places the organism in Eukaryota, Metazoa, Arthropoda, Malacostraca, Decapoda, Palaemonidae. The transcript has 3 exons. The record is from RefSeq and is a predicted model, not a curated record.
ACAUCGCCUUCUGAAAUGGGCCACAAAGUUGAUCGUUAUCACGAGAUUACCUGAAGAUAUCAUGGACUCUCUCCUGAUCAACUACUGGUCAUUCUCAAUGACCAACACGAUAUUUGUCAACAGGGAUAAUGAAGCGACUGGAAGGUGGGGAAUUUAUUCCCACUUGCCAUACACGCCAACUGGCCCGCGAACUGUGCUCCUUGCUGUCUGGAAAUUGGAUAAGGGUUUGCGUUACACCUCUACUAUAACUUUAUUUCCCGAAAAAUUUACUGACUUCCACGGGGCCAUUGUCAAUGUGACUUCUAUGACCUUUAAACCAAUUUGGUUUCCUGUGAAGGAAGCAGCGCCCAAUGGGACCAUCGUUGAAAAAAUGACUGGGAUGGAUUACAUACUCUUAGAGACUGUGGCAGAAAAGCUCAACUUCAGAUUUUACGUAGUUCCAAUAAAAUCUUGG